Molecule: ribosomal RNA, 445 nt
Filed under: uncultured organism
Description: partial 16S ribosomal RNA
Rfam family: Bacterial small subunit ribosomal RNA
Source: RNAcentral
CACUCCUACGGGAGGCAGCAGUGGGGAAUAUUGGACAAUGGGCGCAAGCCUGAUCCAGCCAUGCCGCGUGAGUGAUGAAGGCCCUAGGGUUGUAAAGCUCUUUCACCGGUGAAGAUAAUGACGGUAACCGGAGAAGAAGCCCCGGCUAACUUCGUGCCAGCAGCCGCGGUAAUACGAAGGGGGCUAGCGUUGUUCGGAUUUACUGGGCGUAAAGCGCACGUAGGCGGACUAUUAAGUCAGGGGUGAAAUCCCGGGGCUCAACCCCGGAACUGCCUUUGAUACUGGUAGUCUUGAGUUCGAGAGAGGUGAGUGGAAUUCCGAGUGUAGAGGUGAAAUUCGUAGAUAUUCGGAGGAACACCAGUGGCGAAGGCGGCUCACUGGCUCGAUACUGACGCUGAGGUGCGAAAGCGUGGGGAGCAAACAGGAUUAGAUACCCCUGUAGUCC